Molecule: unclassified non-coding RNA, 1734 nt
Filed under: uncultured fungus
Lineage: Eukaryota; Fungi
Description: sequence contains 18S rRNA gene, ITS1, 5.8S rRNA gene, ITS2, 28S rRNA gene
Rfam family: Eukaryotic large subunit ribosomal RNA (bases 716-1734)
Source: RNAcentral
GGUUGGAUCAUUAACAAAUACAUAAAUGUCCCUUGCUGCCAUAAACAGCCUGGGCGUUUUAACACCUGUGAAUUGUUUAUUGUCUCUGGUGGGUUAAAGGCAGAGUUUGGCGUUGUGUAGCGUUCGUUUAAUUACUUGCGCCGCAGAAUGUCCGCCUCUGUGUUUUCCACACGCUGCGCAGUAAUGUGCAUGCGUUGUGGGAUUUUCCACCCACCGCCAAUUCUUAAACUCUAUGACAUUAUAUUAGCCUUUAAAUUUACACUAGUUGAAUGAAAAAACAACUUUUGGCAACGGAUCUCUAGGCUCUUGCAACGAUGAAGAACGCAGCGAAAUGCGAUAAGUAAUGUGAAUUGCAGAAUUCCGUGAAUCAUUAAAUCUUUGAACGCACAUUGCGCUUUGUGGUAUUCCGCAGAGCAUGUCUGUUUGAGAAUCAGAAUAACUCUCAUGCGCAAGCCUGUCACCAGGACUGCGUGUGGAAUUGAGACUCUGCUAGCACUCGUUGCCAGCAAGACUCUAAAUACAAGUUUGGCCUGUUGUAUGCAUACCUAUCUGUGGAGCAGACGUUUGAAGGCAUGACCCAAUGAGCCUGUGUUUACGCACGGUUCUUUUGAUUGCUGAUAAGAACGUCUAGGAAGCGUUGGCGAGCUACAAUUGGAUACAAAUCUCAACAACUACACGAAGCACUCUUGCCGCACAGCAGAGCGUUUUAUGUCUUUGAUCUCAAAUCAGACAAGACUACCCGCUGAACUUAAGCAUAUCAAUAAGCGGAGGAAAAGAAACUAACAAGGAUUCCCCUAGUAACGGCGAGUGAAGCGGGAACAGCUCAAAUUUGAAAUCUCCUGGGUUCCCUAGGCGAAUUGUAGUUUAAAGAAGUGUUUUCGGAGGCUAGCCAAGUCUAAGUUCUUAGGAAUAAGGCAUCAUAGAGGGUGAGAAUCCCGUCUACGAUUUGGCCAAGCUUCCAUGUGAUACGCUUUCAAAGAGUCGGGUUGUUUGGGAAUGCAGCCCAAAAUGGGUGGUAAUACCAUCUAAAGCUAAAUAUUGGCAAGAGACCGAUAGCGAACAAGUACCGUGAGGGAAAGAUGAAAAGAACUUUGAAAAGAGAGUUAAAUAGUACGUGAAAUUGCCAAAAGGGAAACGUUUGAAACCAGUCUUGUUUGCAGAAACCCAACUGAUUUAGCGAUCAGCAUAUGUUUUUGUAGACAGGUCAACAUCGGUUUCGACUGCAGUAUAAAGCUCGAGAAAGGUGGCCUUCGGUGUUAUAGUCUCGAGUCAUGCUGUGGUUGGGACCGAGGAACGCAGUGCAGUCUUGGGGACCCGUUCGCUAGCUGACGACUUAGUCUGGACAACUUGUUGACCUGGCCGAGGAUUAGGCUAAUCGGGCGGUUUACCACACCUGUGCUUAGGAUGUUGACAAAAUGGUUUUAAAUGACCCGUCUUGAAACACGGACCAAGGAGUCUAACACAUAUGCGAGUAUUUGGGUGCUAAACCCGGAAUGCGCAAUGAAAGUAAUAAGGUGCGAUCUUCGGUGCAGCAUCGACCGGUCUGGAACUAUUGUGAUGGAUCUGAGUAAGAGCAUAUUUGUUAGGACCCGAAAGAUGGUGAACUAUGCCUGAAUAGGGCGAAGCCAGAGGAAACUCUGGUGGAGGCUCGUAGCGAUUCUGACGUGCAAAUCGAUCGUAAAAUUUGGGUAUAGGGGCGAAAGACUAAUCGAACCAUCUAGUAGCUGGUUCCUC